ACACCUGGUUGAGGUCACUGGAAAACACAACACAGCUUUUUUGUGCUUUAGACAAAUCCAUCAAUCAGUCCAGCUGUGGUUAGAACCAGGUGUGUCCCCCACUUAUUAUCAUCAUCAUCCUGUUCCGUUUGAAUAGAGAUGGAAUUUGGCAUUAUGUACAGUAUGUACAAACACACACAAGGAAAACCAGUCUGAAACAGUUGUCUCUUGGACAGUGUGUUAAGAAAUCAGUAGUAAAACACGGACAACAGUUUAGAACCCUGAAUCAGACAGAGCUCACAGAAAAUACACAUGAAAACAGGUUGCAGGGAUUUUUAACUCAUUUUUCAUCGCAGAUAGCACGAAGUGUAGCAGUAAGACAGAAAUACCAUCCAAUAACGUUGGGUUAAGGCAAUUCAGAAUUAGCAAUGAAGUAAAAACUGUAAAUGAUGUGAUUUGAAGUCGAUCCCUAAAAGCAAACUUAAAUAAAGACAGGAAGUGUAUUAGAGGUGAUCUGUGACGCUCAGACAGUCCAGCAUCAAGACGGUCCAUGUAUCUACAGUGACAAAAACAUGUGGCUCAGCAUUACUCUGAUUACUCUGUAAAACUUUAGGACCACAGUACAUACUUGCAUCCACAAAUGCACGCUAAAAGUUUACAGCGCAAA
Long non-coding RNA from Sphaeramia orbicularis (orbiculate cardinalfish), 646 nucleotides. RefSeq lists it as uncharacterized. NCBI's taxonomy places the organism in Eukaryota, Metazoa, Chordata, Actinopteri, Kurtiformes, Apogonidae. The transcript has 2 exons. The record is from RefSeq and is a predicted model, not a curated record.